UCGGAUUGCAGCCUGCAACUCGGCUGCAUGAAGCCGGAAUCGCUAGUAAUCGCGGAUCAGAAUGCCGCGGUGAAUACGUUCCCGGGUCUUGUACACACCGCCCGUCACACCAUGGGAGUCGGAAAUGCCCGAAGUCGGUGACCUAACGAAAGAAGGAGCCGCCGAAGGCAGGUCCGGUAACUGGGGUGAAGUCGUAACAAGGUAAC
Molecule: ribosomal RNA, 206 nt
Filed under: uncultured bacterium
Lineage: Bacteria
Description: partial 16S ribosomal RNA
Rfam family: Bacterial small subunit ribosomal RNA
Source: RNAcentral